Molecule: ribosomal RNA, 253 nt
Filed under: uncultured bacterium
Lineage: Bacteria
Description: partial 16S ribosomal RNA
Rfam family: Bacterial small subunit ribosomal RNA
Source: RNAcentral
UACAGAGGUCUCAACCGUUGUUCGGAUUCAUUGGGCGUAAAGGGUGCGUAGGCGGUCGGGUAAGUCGGAUGUGAAAUCUCAGGGCUCAACCCUGAAACUGCAUUCGAUACUGCCUGGCUAGGGUACUGGAGAGGAGACUGGAAUUUACGGUGUAGCGGUGAAAUGCGUAGAUAUCGUAAGGAAGACCAGUGGCGAAGGCGGGUCUCUGGACAGUUCCUGACGCUGAGGCACGAAGGCCAGGGGAGCAAACGGG